This 1487-nucleotide ribosomal RNA is filed under the name uncultured prokaryote. RNAcentral's name for it is "partial 16S ribosomal RNA". It matches the Rfam family "Bacterial small subunit ribosomal RNA". The record is from RNAcentral.
AGAGUUUGAUUAUGGCUCAGGAUGAACGCUAGCGGCAGGCUUAACACAUGCAAGUCGAGGGGUAACAGGAGUAGCUUGCUACUUGCUGACGACCGGCGCACGGGUGCGUAACGCGUAUGUAACUUACCUCUAACUGGAGAAUAGCCCCGAGAAAUCGGGAUUAAUGCUCCAUAAUACCACGGAUUCGCAUGAUAGAAGAAUUAAAGUUCCGACGGUUAGAGAUGGGCAUGCGUCCCAUUAGGUUGUUGGUGAGGUAAUGGCUCACCAAGGCUACGAUGGGUAGGGGGCCUGAGAGGGUUAUCCCCCACACUGGUACUGAGACACGGACCAGACUCCUACGGGAGGCAGCAGUGAGGAAUAUUGGUCAAUGGACGCAAGUCUGAACCAGCCAUGCCGCGUGCAGGAAGAAUGCCCUAUGGGUUGUAAACUGCUUUUAUACGAGAAGAAACCCACCGACGUGUCGGAGGCUGACGGUAUCGUAUGAAUAAGCACCGGCUAACUCCGUGCCAGCAGCCGCGGUAAUACGGAGGGUGCAAGCGUUAUCCGGAUUUAUUGGGUUUAAAGGGUGCGCAGGCGGGAAAUUAAGUCAGUGGUGAAAUCCUUCAGCUUAACUGAAGAAUUGCCAUUGAAACUGGUUUUCUUGAAUCUACUUGAAGUGGGCGGAAUAUGACAUGUAGCGGUGAAAUGCUUAGAUAUGUCAUAGAACACCGAUUGCGAAGGCAGCUCACUAAAGUAGUAUUGACGCUCAGGCACGAAAGCGUGGGGAGCGAACAGGAUUAGAUACCCUGGUAGUCCACGCUGUAAACGAUGAUCACUCGUUAUUGGCGAUACACUGUCAGUGACUAAGCGAAAGUGUUAAGUGAUCCACCUGGGGAGUACGAUCGCAAGGUUGAAACUCAAAGGAAUUGACGGGGGCCCGCACAAGCGGUGGAGCAUGUGGUUUAAUUCGAUCAUACGCGAGGAACCUUACCAGGGCUUAAAUGUAGAACGACAGUUUGGGAAACCAUUCUUUCUUCGGACGGACUACAAGGUGCUGCAUGGUUGUCGUCAGCUCGUGCCGUGAGGUGUCGGGUUAAGUCCCAUAACGAGCGCAACCCCUAUCCUUAGUUGCCAGCGGGUAAUGCCGGGGACUCUAAGGAAACUGCCGGCGUAAGCCGAGAGGAAGGUGGGGACGACGUCAAGUCAUCACGGCCCUUACGUCCUGGGCUACACACGUGCUACAAUGGCGAGUACAAAGGGCAGCUACCUGGUGACAGGAUGCUAAUCUCUAAAGCUCGUCUCAGUUCGGAUUGAAGUCUGCAACUCGACUUCAUGAAGCUGGAAUCGCUAGUAAUCGCGCAUCAGCCAUGGCGCGGUGAAUACGUUCCCGGGCCUUGUACACACCGCCCGUCAAGCCAUGGAAGCUGGGGGUGCCUGAAGUCAGUAACCGUAAGGAGCUGCCUAGGGUAAAACUGGUAACUGGGGCUAAGUCGUAACAAGGUAACCGU